UGUUUUUAUAUUGCAUUUGUAUAUUAUUUAUUUAAAAAAGAAGCAUGCAAUUUCAUAUGAUGAGAAGCACGUGUCAGCAUAACUUACUAUACGAUAUACAGUUUGCUCUUUUUUAAAAGCUGUUCAGUGACACUGUAUCUGUUUAUAUUACGGUCCAUUGCUGAAUAGCGGAUGGUUUCUCAUUGCCAACUAUACCACAUCUCCUUGUUUAUAUACUUCCAAAGAUGACUAAAAUAAUCAAUUUUCAUCUAAAAAUAAUAUUGAAAAAGGUGAUUGCUACAACCAAAAUUCUAAUAAAUAAAUUGCAAUCUAAUUUAUAGUUGCUGAUACUGUAGGAAUGAGAUGCUCUUUGCAGUUAUACAUUUUUGCCUGGUUUGAGAGGAUAUUUUUGUUUUAAUUUUAGCUCAGAUUCAGCAGAAAUUGAACCUAAUAGAUACAAAAUUGGCAGAAAUUGAAAAGAAAAAUGAGGAAACUGAACCAAACAAUUUAACGUUUUCUCAUUUACAAAAACAGAUUAAUGACCGCACAGAACUAGCUCAGAUUCAGCAGAAAUUGAACCUAAUAGAUACAAAAUUGGCAGAAAUUGAAAAGAAAAAUGAGGAAACUGGAAACCGAAACAAUUUAACGUUUUCUUAUUUACAGAAACAGAUUCAUAACAGCACAGAACUAGUGGCCAUUACAGCUCAUCCUUCAUCCAGUGCAACGUUACAAGGCAUACUAAAGUUUGACGACGUCAAUUUCAGUGUUGGAAUCAAAAAUAUGUCGUCAUAUAAAAGUACCGGGAAGUUUGUGGUGGAGAAGGAGGGACUUUACAUAAUAUCGGCUUCAAUCAUCUCUAGUGCCAAUGGUGCUAAAUUCUACAUUUACCUGAAUGGUAAUCAGAUAUCGGGGACACAGACAUUUUAUACCAGUAGUCCUCCUUCUUCAAUGGAACAUACCGGUACUGCUGUUGUAACACUACAGUUACAUCUGAAUGAUAGUCUGUGGAUAUACUGUCCUGGGAAUUAUCAUAUAGCAGGCGACCCAUGGUCGACAUUAACAAUUGUGAAAAUCAAAUAAAUUAUUAACUUACAUAAUCACAACAAUGUCUGUAAUCACAUUUAUACGAAUCAGUGGCGGA
This is a long non-coding RNA of Mytilus californianus (California mussel), 1120 nucleotides long. RefSeq lists it as uncharacterized. The record is from RefSeq and is a predicted model, not a curated record. The transcript has 3 exons. Lineage: Eukaryota; Metazoa; Mollusca; Bivalvia; Mytilida; Mytilidae.